CUCAAACAGCUCGUGACUUCUCUGCAACAGCCAAGCUUACCUGCACAGAUCCAAGUAGCAAAGCCUGCUCCAUCAAAUCAAAUUACUAGAAUGCUCAAACAAGAUGAUCCUCUCUUCUUUUUGUGUGUUCUUGCAGGUGCAAAUGGCUGUCUGUCCUGCAACUCCCAGGAACCUCAAGCACACCAACAAGCACGAGCACCACAUCAAGCACAGCAACUCCCAACACUUUCAGCUCAACAACAGGCAACACGACGGAUGGAUCGUUACGCCUUUCGUGCGGGAACAAUCAGCAGCAGGGAUGGUAGUAACGGAGGUUUGCUUCCAAUGGCAGGAGUAGUCUGUCUUCUAUGAUCUGAAAGCUACACUUUUUGGUGAUCGGAUCCACGAAAGUUAAGCGUUGGGAUCACAGGUUUUC
RNA transcript from Musa acuminata AAA Group (dessert banana), 415 nucleotides. RefSeq lists it as uncharacterized. The transcript is spliced from 3 exons. The record is from RefSeq and is a predicted model, not a curated record. NCBI's taxonomy places the organism in Eukaryota, Viridiplantae, Streptophyta, Magnoliopsida, Zingiberales, Musaceae.